AAAAAUUUCAUCAUCUCAACCAAGCUCUCGCACCUAAAACUUCUGGUACUUCCAAAUUUCACUGAAAAACACAACAAAUCUCAAAUAAUUUUCAUUGCUCCUAAUUUCCAAUUACAUCGUGUCAGAAUCCCAAUUUGGCACCAAUUACAAAAACAGUAACCAAUCGGCAGAAGAAUUGGCUCGCUGUCACAACUUACAAUCGUCGAGAAUCGCUACCUCCUUUUACCAUAAUCCUUGAUUGGUUUUCUAACGAGUAAUACCCUCUGCACAUUCAAUUGCUUCCGGUGCUAAGAAAUCAUUUCUACCAUGCUUUAUUCUUCUUCUUCUUCUGAAGAGGAUGGGUUCGAUGUUGGCACACUGUCCUUUUUCACUUGUAUCUUGUUUUUGGGAGUUCCUUUUGCCC
This 403-nucleotide long non-coding RNA is filed under the name Olea europaea subsp. europaea. Lineage: Eukaryota; Viridiplantae; Streptophyta; Magnoliopsida; Lamiales; Oleaceae. The record is from RNAcentral.